CUGCCCAAAGGAGAGUGCUAGACACUAUGGACCCUUGCUAAAAAUCAUCCACCCUCUGCGGCACCACUGACCUUGGAAUCGUGUAUCCCCAGCUGGAAGGGACCCACAAGGACUAUCAGCUCCAACCAACUGACGGAAGAGUGCUGAAGGGUUCACACUGAAAGUGCUGCAGCCUUCUACAAUUUGUGGUGUUCAUUAUUAUAUUCCCCAUCUCAUAGCAUCAUUAAGAUAAGAGAAGUCCUACAGAGAAUCGUUGCCUUUGGCUGUGGAAUGAGACCCACAACUUCUGGGUACCAGAACAGGUGCUUCUGUUUAACCCACUCAUACUCCAGACCUGAGCAUCACUUCCUCAGAGGUGCCCAGGAGAUCAGCUUGGACUCAUCACUUCUCCACAACGGGUGGAAGAAGGUGGCUCCAGGAGCCGACAAUUGUUGUCAUCACAAGUUAGCAGCUCCCAGCUGCAGCCGAGGACCUGCUGAAAGGACGGAGCUGCACCUCCUGGAGGGCUUCUUAAAGUGCUGGAAAUAGGUACGAAAAAUCAAAGUCCCCCAUUCAUCUUCAUGCAGUCAUCUGCAGGUAGCCGUGUGAAGCUUGCUUAUGGGGAUGAGAGUGGGCAAUGCCAGGAGACCUCUCCAGCCACUUCUUCUGGGCCUGGUUUGGCACAGAAAUAGUAUUAGAGAAG
This 682-nucleotide long non-coding RNA is filed under the name Numida meleagris (helmeted guineafowl). RNAcentral describes it as "lncRNA (ENSNMEG00000005423.1)". Lineage: Eukaryota; Metazoa; Chordata; Aves; Galliformes; Numididae. The record is from RNAcentral.